GUGGGGAAUCUUAGACAAUGGGGGAAACCCUGAUCUAGCCAUGCCGCGUGAGCGAUGAAGGCCUUAGGGUUGUAAAGCUCUUUCAGCUGGGAAGAUAAUGACGGUACCAGCAGAAGAAGCCCCGGCUAACUCCGUGCCAGCAGCCGCGGUAAUACGGAGGGGGCUAGCGUUGUUCGGAAUUACUGGGCGUAAAGCGCGCGUAGGCGGACCAGAAAGUUGGAGGUGGAAUCCCAGGGCUCAACCUUGGAACUGCCUUCAAAACUCCUGGUCUGGAGUUCGAGAGAGGUGAGUGGAAUUCCGAGUGUAGAGGUGAAAUUCGUAGAUAUUCGGAGGAACACCAGUGGCGAAGGCGGCUCACUGGCUCGAUACUGACGCUGAGGUGCGAAAGCGUGGGGAGCAAACAGGAUUAGAAACCCUUGUAGUCC
RNAcentral lists this ribosomal RNA (425 nucleotides) under uncultured bacterium. Its description in RNAcentral is "partial 16S ribosomal RNA". It matches the Rfam family "Bacterial small subunit ribosomal RNA", at positions 354 to 796 of the family's 1533-position model. The record is from RNAcentral.